This 253-nucleotide ribosomal RNA is filed under the name uncultured bacterium. RNAcentral's name for it is "partial 16S ribosomal RNA". It matches the Rfam family "Bacterial small subunit ribosomal RNA", at positions 524 to 776 of the family's 1533-position model. The record is from RNAcentral.
UACGGGGGGAGCAAGCGUUAUCCGGGAUUAUUGGGCGUAAAGAGCUCGUAGGCGGUUUGUCGCGUCUGCCGUGAAAGUCCGGGGCUCAACUCCGGAUCUGCGGUGGGUACGGGCAGACUAGAGUGAUGUAGGGGAGACUGGAAUUCCUGGUGUAGCGGUGAAAUGCGCAGAUAUCAGGAGGAACACCGAUGGCGAAGGCAGGUCUCUGGGCAUUAACUGACGCUGAGGAGCGAAAGCAUGGGGAGCGAACAGG